This 497-nucleotide ribosomal RNA is filed under the name uncultured bacterium. RNAcentral's name for it is "partial 16S ribosomal RNA". It matches the Rfam family "Bacterial small subunit ribosomal RNA", at positions 28 to 507 of the family's 1533-position model. The record is from RNAcentral.
GAUGAACGCUGGCGGCGUGCCUAAUACAUGCAAGUCGAGCGAACAGAUGAGGAGCUUGCUCCUCUGACGUUAGCGGCGGACGGGUGAGUAACACGUGGAUAACCUCCCUAUAAGACUGGGAUAACUUCGGGAAACCGGAGCUAAUACCGGAUAAUCUAUUGAACCGCAUGGUUCAAUAGUGAAAGACGGUUUUGCUGUCACUUAUAGAUGGAUCCGCGCCGCAUUAGCUAGUUGGUAAGGUGAAGGCUUACCAAGGGAACGAUGCGUAGCCGACCUGAGAGGGUGAUCGGCCACACUGGAACGGAGACACGGUCCAGACUCCUACGGGAGGCAGCAGUAGGGAAUCUUCCGCAAUGGGCGAAAGCCUGACGGAGCAACGCCGCGUGAGUGAUGAAGGUCUUCGGAUCGUAAAACUCUGUUAUUAGGGAAGAACAAAUGUGUAAGUAACUAUGCACGUCUUGACGGUACCUAAUCAGAAAGCCACGGCUAACUACGUG